UGUUCUGUGGCUUAGUUGGUUUAAGCGCCGGUGUAGCGAAUACGGAGUCGUGGGUUUGAAUCCCACCAGAACGC
Aedes albopictus (Asian tiger mosquito) is the source of this 74-nucleotide non-coding RNA. NCBI's taxonomy places the organism in Eukaryota, Metazoa, Arthropoda, Insecta, Diptera, Culicidae. The record is from Rfam.